This 22-nucleotide microRNA is filed under the name Monopterus albus (swamp eel). RNAcentral's name for it is "Mal-Mir-30-P2a_3p* (star (passenger))". RNAcentral also lists the same sequence under 1 other name. Lineage: Eukaryota; Metazoa; Chordata; Actinopteri; Synbranchiformes; Synbranchidae. The record is from RNAcentral.
CUGAGAGAAGGUUGUUUACUUG